This 497-nucleotide ribosomal RNA is filed under the name uncultured bacterium. RNAcentral's name for it is "partial 16S ribosomal RNA". It matches the Rfam family "Bacterial small subunit ribosomal RNA", at positions 28 to 507 of the family's 1533-position model. The record is from RNAcentral.
GAUGAACGCUGGCGGCGUGCCUAAUACAUGCAAGUCGAGCGAACGGACGAGAAGCUUGCUUCUCCGAUGUUAGCGGCGGACGGGUGAGUAACACGUGGAUAACCUACCUAUAAGACUGGGAUAACUUCGGGAAACCGGAGCUAAUACCGGAUAAUAUUUUGAACCGCAUGGUUCAAAAGUGAAAGACGGCCUUGCUGUCACUUAUAGAUGGAUCCGCGCUGCAUUAGCUAGUUGGUAAGGUAACGGCUUACCAAGGCAACGAUGCAUAGCCGACCUGAGAGGGUGAUCGGCCACACUGGAACUGAGACACGGUCCAGACUCCUACGGGAGGCAGCAGUAGGGAAUCUUCCGCAAUGGGCGAAAGCCUGACGGAGCAACGCCGCGUGAGUGAUGAAGGUCUUCGGAUCGUAAAACUCUGUUAUUAGGGAAGAACAUAUGUGUAAGUAACUGUGCACAUCUUGACGGUACCUAAUCAGAAAGCCACGGCUAACUACGUG